GAAUAUUGGACAACGGGCGAAAGCCUGAUCCAGACAUGCCGCGUGUGUGAAGAAGGUCUCCGGAUUGUAAAGCACUUUAAGUUGGGAGGAAGGGGUUGAUGCUAAUACAUUCAAUCUUUGACGUUACCAACAGAAUAAGCACCGGCUAACUCAGGGCAAGCAGCCGCGGUAACACUGAGGGUGCAACCGUUAAUCGGAAGUACUGGGCGUAAAGCGCGGGUAGGUUGUUCAAUAAGAUGGAAAUGAAAUCCCCGGGCUUAACCUGGGAACUGCUUUCAUAACUGCUGAGCUAGAGUACGGUAGAGGGUAGUGGAAUUUCCUGUGUAGCGGUGAAAUGCGUAGAUAUAGGAGGGAACACCAGUGGCGAAGGCGACUACCUGGACUGAUACUGACACUGAGGUGCGAAAGCGUGGGGAGCAAACA
This 423-nucleotide ribosomal RNA is filed under the name uncultured bacterium. RNAcentral describes it as "partial 16S ribosomal RNA". It matches the Rfam family "Bacterial small subunit ribosomal RNA", at positions 359 to 774 of the family's 1533-position model. The record is from RNAcentral.